This 489-nucleotide ribosomal RNA is filed under the name uncultured bacterium. RNAcentral describes it as "partial 16S ribosomal RNA". It matches the Rfam family "Bacterial small subunit ribosomal RNA", at positions 30 to 506 of the family's 1533-position model. The record is from RNAcentral.
AUUGAACGCUGGCGGCAGGCCUAACACAUGCAAGUCGAACGGUAACAGGAAGAAGCUUGCUUCUUUGCUGACGAGUGGCGGACGGGUGAGUAAUGUCUGGGAAACUGCCUGAUGGAGGGGGAUAACUACUGGAAACGGUAGCUAAUACCGCAUAACGUCGCAAGACCAAAAAGGGGGACCUUCGGGCCUCUUGCCAUCGGAUGUGCCCAGAUGGGAUUAGCUAGUAGGUGGGGUAACGGCUCACCUAGGCGACGAUCCCUAGCUGGUCUGAGAGGAUGACCAGCCACACUGGAACUGAGACACGGUCCAGACUCCUACGGGAGGCAGCAGUGGGGAAUAUUGCACAAUGGGCGCAAGCCUGAUGCAGCCAUGCCGCGUGUAUGAAGAAGGCCUGCGGGUUGUAAAGUACUUUCAGCGGGGAGGAAGGGAGUAAAGUUAAUACCUCUGCUCAUGGACGUUACCCGCAGAAGAAGCACCGGCUAACUCCGU